GAUGAACGCUAGCUACAGGCUUAACACAUGCAAGUCGAGGGGCAGCAUGGUCUUAGCUUGCUAAGGCCGAUGGCGACCGGCGCACGGGUGAGUAACACGUAUCCAACCUGCCGUCUACUCUUGGACAGCCUUCUGAAAGGAAGAUUAAUACAAGAUGGCAUCAUGAGUCCACAUGUUCACAUGAUUAAAGGUAUUCCGGUAGACGAUGGGGAUGCGUUCCAUUAGAUAGUAGGCGGGGUAACGGCCCACCUAGUCUUCGAUGGAUAGGGGUUCUGAGAGGAAGGUCCCCCACAUUGGAACUGAGACACGGUCCAAACUCCUACGGGAGGCAGCAGUGAGGAAUAUUGGUCAAUGGGCGAGAGCCUGAACCAGCCAAGUAGCGUGAAGGAUGACUGCCCUAUGGGUUGUAAACUUCUUUUAUAAAGGAAUAAAGUCGGGUAUGGAUACCCGUUUGCAUGUACUUUAUGAAUAAGGAUCGGCUAACUCCGUGCCAGCAGCCGCGGUAAUACGGAGGAUCCGAGCGUUAUCCGGAUUUAUUGGGUUUAAAGGGAGCGUAGAUGGAUGUUUAAGUCAGUUGUGAAAGUUUGCGGCUCAACCGUAAAAUUGCAGUUGAUACUGGAUAUCUUGAGUGCAGUUGAGGCAGGCGGAAUUCGUGGUGUAGCGGUGAAAUGCUUAGAUAUCACGAAGAACUCCGAUUGCGAAGGCAGCCUGCUAAGCUGCAACUGACAUUGAGGCUCGAAAGUGUGGGUAUCAAACAGGAUUAGAUACCCUGGUAGUCCACACGGUAAACGAUGAAUACUCGCUGUUUGCGAUAUACAGCAAGCGGCCAAGCGAAAGCGUUAAGUAUUCCACCUGGGGAGUACGCCGGCAACGGUGAAACUCAAAGGAAUUGACGGGGGCCCGCACAAGCGGAGGAACAUGUGGUUUAAUUCGAUGAUACGCGAGGAACCUUACCCGGGCUUAAAUUGCAGAUGAAUUACGGUGAAAGCCGUAAGCCGCAAGGCAUCUGUGAAGGUGCUGCAUGGUUGUCGUCAGCUCGUGCCGUGAGGUGUCGGCUUAAGUGCCAUAACGAGCGCAACCCUUGUUGUCAGUUACUAACAGGUUCCGCUGAGGACUCUGACAAGACUGCCAUCGUAAGAUGUGAGGAAGGUGGGGAUGACGUCAAAUCAGCACGGCCCUUACGUCCGGGGCUACACACGUGUUACAAUGGGGGGUACAGAGGGCCGCUACCACGCGAGUGGAUGCCAAUCCCAAAAACCUCUCCCAGUUCGGACUGGAGUCUGCAACCCGACUCCACGAAGCUGGAUUCGCUAGUAAUCGCGCAUCAGCCACGGCGCGGUGAAUACGUUCCCGGGCCU
RNAcentral lists this ribosomal RNA (1358 nucleotides) under uncultured bacterium. Its description in RNAcentral is "bacterial SSU rRNA". It matches the Rfam family "Bacterial small subunit ribosomal RNA", at positions 28 to 1381 of the family's 1533-position model. The record is from RNAcentral.